UGAGGAACAUGACCUUCGGCGGGGGAGUAGCCGGCCCAACGGCCGGGUAAUACCGCGUACGACCACUUUGGGACAUCCCUAGGUGGUGAAAGCAGCAAUGCGCCGAUGGAGUGCCUCGCGGCCUAUCAGCUAGUUGGUGAGGUAACGGCUCACCAAGGCGACGACGGGUAGCUGGUCUGAGAGGAUGGCCAGCCACAUUGGGACUGAGACACGGCCCAGACCUCCGUACGGGAGCAG
RNAcentral lists this ribosomal RNA (237 nucleotides) under uncultured bacterium. RNAcentral's name for it is "partial 16S ribosomal RNA". It matches the Rfam family "Bacterial small subunit ribosomal RNA", at positions 118 to 347 of the family's 1533-position model. The record is from RNAcentral.